AAUAAGGUGCCUGACAAAAGGAUUACUUUGAUAGAGUAAAUUAUAUAAGUUAAUCUUAUCCUUAUUA
RNAcentral lists this transfer RNA (67 nucleotides) under Nobia grandis. Its description in RNAcentral is "tRNA-Ile". Lineage: Eukaryota; Metazoa; Arthropoda; Thecostraca; Balanomorpha; Pyrgomatidae. The record is from RNAcentral.